RNAcentral lists this ribosomal RNA (375 nucleotides) under uncultured bacterium. RNAcentral describes it as "bacterial SSU rRNA". It matches the Rfam family "Bacterial small subunit ribosomal RNA", at positions 523 to 898 of the family's 1533-position model. The record is from RNAcentral.
AUACGUAGGGUGCGAGCGUUAAUCGGAAUUACUGGGCGUAAAGCGUGCGCAGGCGGCUUUGCAAGACAGAUGUGAAAUCCCCGGGCUCAACCUGGGAACUGCAUUUGUGACUGCAAGGCUAGAGUGCGGCAGAGGGAGAUGGAAUUCCGCGUGUAGCAGUGAAAUGCGUAGAUAUGCGGAGGAACACCGAUGGCGAAGGCAAUCUCCUGGGCCUGCACUGACGCUCAUGCACGAAAGCGUGGGGAGCAAACAGGAUUAGAUACCCUGGUAGUCCACGCCCUAAACGAUGUCAACUGGUUGUUGGACGGCUUGCUGUUCAGUAACGAAGCUAACGCGUGAAGUUGACCGCCUGGGGAGUACGGCCGCAAGGUUGAA